This 431-nucleotide ribosomal RNA is filed under the name uncultured bacterium. Its description in RNAcentral is "partial 16S ribosomal RNA". It matches the Rfam family "Bacterial small subunit ribosomal RNA", at positions 29 to 507 of the family's 1533-position model. The record is from RNAcentral.
AACGAACGCUGGCGGCAGGCUUAACACAUGCAAGUCGAACGCACCGCAAGGGGCGUGGCCGACGGGUGGGUACCGCGUGGGAAUCUACACAUCCCUACGGAAUAACGCAUGGAAACGUGUGCUAAUACCGUAUACGCCCUACGGGGGAAAGAUUUAUCGGGGAUGGAUGAGCCCGCGUUGGAUUAGCUAGUUGGUGGGGUAAAGGCCUACCAAGGCGACGAUCCAUAGCUGGUCUGAGAGGAAGAUCACCCACAUUGAGACUGGGACACGGACCAAACUCCUACGCAAGGCAGCAAUGGGGAACAUUGCACACUGGAGGGAAGCAUGAACCAGCCAUGACGCGGGAGCCAUGAAGUCCUUGGAGUAGUAAAGCCCUUUGACCGGAGAAGAUAAUGACGGUAUCUGGACAAGAAGCCCCGGCUAACUUCGUG